Molecule: long non-coding RNA, 1446 nt
Filed under: Ursus maritimus (polar bear)
Lineage: Eukaryota; Metazoa; Chordata; Mammalia; Carnivora; Ursidae
Description: lncRNA (ENSUMAG00000024949.1)
Source: RNAcentral
UUCCUUCUUCACGUAACUGUGUGGAUAUUGGUUGGAUAUAUGGACAACCAUUCAGCUCCCGGAAAAGGGGCAUCUGUAUGGUCCAACAUGCUGAGACCUUUCUUGACCUCCCAAAGGUGAAUAAAUCAGAGAUGGCAGCCACACUUGGUCUCAGUCAUUGGGCCAAUCCAAAACUGGAUUACCUACCCAUGUACACUCCCCCUUCCUGCCACUUCAUAUCCAACUAAAAUGUCAUGAGCUACAAAUGACCAGUGAUAGGCUCUCACGGAAUCAGAGAUCUGUGUAGGCCACUGAGAGGUGGCCACUUGCAAGAGGGUUAUUUGAAAAGAAGUAUAGAUUAUACAAAGAGUGGGGUCAGACACAUUGUAUUUCUACAGACAAAAUUAUUAAGCAGAAACACAGCAGGAUUUGUUUAAUAAUAAAGUGGUUUGUUGGGGUUUAGGAUUUUAUUAUUUCUUUUUAGAAAAAUGAGAAAAUUUACAAGAUGCAAAGGUCUUACACAAUACAUUAUCACCAAUGUUUGUUCUCUUUACACCUAAACCAGGCCCUGGCUUAGCCAGUGUUGGGAAGAACAUGGACAGCGUGAAUGCAGUUGAGACCCAUCAUGAACACAUGUGAAAGGAGGACCGGUGACAAAUGAUGUUGGGCCAGCCUGUUUUAAAAGCAAGCCAAGAAAUCACAGGAACCAGCAAAGUCUUUGCAUGGGGGAAGCAUGGGUGUAUGCCCUGCUGCCAUGUGCAUGGGGUGCACACCCCUGCACUGCCAGUACCCACUUUCGCUAUUAGACCACAGCAACAACAGAAAAUGGUAUCAUUCCUUUGGUGUUGUUGUUUUGUUUUGUUCUGUUUUGUUUCUGCAGGGCUACUCAGCGUCCCAAUUUCUUAAAGCAGUGUAGGUACUCAACAUCUUUCAUGAAUUUUUCUGGAUCCAGUUCCGCCCAAUGAUAAUGCACUAAAAAGAACAAAGAUAAGACACAUUACAGGAGAAGGUCCCAAAAUAUGCCUUCAAAUCCUAUUUAAAAAAUAUAACCAAGCCUAAAGAAACAGCUGUAGGAUACCCUUUCAGUUCAUACAAUGACAACGGCAUGACAGUGUUUCACUAUACUAUGAACAAUCUGCCAGGUUGUCAUGUAUAAUUCCAAACACCUUCUCACCAAAGUUUCCAACUUAUUAGAACCUCAUUCUUAUAGCUCAAAGAGACAUUAGAUAUCUGGGAACUAACUCACUUCUUAAUGGCCUUUGGAACAAAAAGAAUGAGAAAAUAUUUUAAAGUAUUCACUUUAAAUGAAAAGGCAACAUAUCACCAUCUGUGAUAUGCACCUAAGGCAGUAUGUAGAGGGAAAUUCAUAGCACUCAAAGCUUAUAUUAGAAAAGAAAAAAGCUAUCACAGCAAUAAUCUGAGUUUCCACAUUAAGAAACUAAAAGAAUAAAAGCAGAGUAAAACCCA